Molecule: ribosomal RNA, 443 nt
Filed under: uncultured bacterium
Lineage: Bacteria
Description: partial 16S ribosomal RNA
Rfam family: Bacterial small subunit ribosomal RNA
Source: RNAcentral
CCUACGGGUGGCAGCAGUGGGGAAUAUUGGGCAAUGGCGGAAACUCUGACCCAGCAACGCCGCGUGAGUGAUGACGGUCUUCGGAUUUUAAAGUUCUUUUCUAAGGGAAGAAGAAAGUGACGGUACCUUAGGAAUAAGCCUCGGCUAACUACGUGCCAGCAGCCGCGGUAAUACGGAGGAGGCAAGCGUUCUCCGGAAUGACUGGGCGUAAGGGGUGCGUAGGUGGUUUGACAAGUUGGUAGCGUAACUCCGGGGGCCAACCUCGGCAAUACUACCGAAACUUGCGGACUUGAGUGCAGGAGGGGCAAAUGGAAUGCGUGGUGUAGCGGUGGAAUGCGUAGAUAUUAGGAGGAACACCAGUGGCGAAGGCGAGUUGCUGGACUGUAACUGACACUGAGGCACGAAAGCGUGGGGAGCAAACAGGAUUAGAUACCCGGGUAGUC